Molecule: non-coding RNA, 69 nt
Organism: Rattus norvegicus (Norway rat)
Lineage: Eukaryota; Metazoa; Chordata; Mammalia; Rodentia; Muridae
Source: Rfam
GGGGAUUUGGCUCAGUGGUAGAGCGCUUGCCUAGCAAGCGCAAGGCCCUGGGUUCGAUCCCCAGCUCCG